Molecule: long non-coding RNA, 237 nt
Organism: Fukomys damarensis (Damara mole-rat)
Lineage: Eukaryota; Metazoa; Chordata; Mammalia; Rodentia; Bathyergidae
Exons: 3
Source: RefSeq, a predicted model, not a curated record
GAGCCCAGACCCGAGAGAGCACAACACAUAGUGGGAAGCAGAGUGAUCGCCUCUUUGAUUUUAUCAGAAUCCACAGUGCCCCAGGAGACUCCAGAUGAGAGAACUGGGAGGCCCUCGGCUGAGGGCAAGAACUGAGAAAUAAUUUGCUUAAAGUCUCACAGCCACCAGUUAGAGGCAGAGGUUGGAUUCAAGCCCCCAUCCUGCAGGACUCUGAAGACCUCAGUUCUUUGCUACAAA